Molecule: transfer RNA, 104 nt
Organism: Metarhizium majus ARSEF 297
Lineage: Eukaryota; Fungi; Ascomycota; Sordariomycetes; Hypocreales; Clavicipitaceae
Rfam family: tRNA
About the family: Transfer RNA (tRNA) molecules are approximately 80 nucleotides in length. Their secondary structure includes four short double-helical elements and three loops (D, anti-codon, and T loops).
Source: Rfam
GGUCUGAUGGUCUAGUGGUAUGAUUCUUGCUUUGGGAUUUCUUAUUCCUAUAUAGUAUCCUUACAAACUGCAAGAGGUCCCGGGUUCAAUCCCCGGUCAGACCC